This 77-nucleotide transfer RNA is filed under the name Acetomicrobium hydrogeniformans. RNAcentral's name for it is "tRNA-Met". It matches the Rfam family "tRNA". From Rfam's summary of the family: Transfer RNA (tRNA) molecules are approximately 80 nucleotides in length. The record is from RNAcentral. Lineage: Bacteria; Thermotogati; Synergistota; Synergistia; Synergistales; Acetomicrobiaceae.
GGCGGUGUAGCUCAGUUGGCGAGAGCAUGCGGUUCAUACCCGUAGGGUCAGUGGUUCAAAUCCACUCACCGCCACCA